AUUGAACGCUGGCGGAAUGCUUUACACAUGCAAGUCGAACGGCAGCACGGACUUCGGUCUGGUGGCGAGUGGCGAACGGGUGAGUAAUAUAUCGGAACGUGCCCAGUCGUGGGGGAUAACGUAGCGAAAGUUACGCUAAUACCGCAUACGAUCUACGGAUGAAAGCGGGGGAUCGCAAGACCUCGCGCGAUUGGAGCGGCCGAUAUCAGAUUAGGUAGUUGGUGGGGUAAAGGCUCACCAAGCCAACGAUCUGUAGCUGGUCUGAGAGGCCGACCAGCCACACUGGAACUGAGACGCGGUGCAGACGCCUACGGGAGGAAGCAGUGGGGAAUUUUGGACAAUGGACGCAAGUCUGAUACAGCCAUUCCGCGUGCAGGAUGAAGGCCCUCGGGUUGUAAACUGCUUUUGUACAGAACGAAAAGGCUCUUCCUAAUACGGAGGGCUCAUGACGGUACUGUAAGAAUAAGCACCGGCUAACUACGUGCCAGCAGCCGCCGUAA
This 500-nucleotide ribosomal RNA is filed under the name uncultured bacterium. RNAcentral describes it as "partial 16S ribosomal RNA". It matches the Rfam family "Bacterial small subunit ribosomal RNA", at positions 30 to 523 of the family's 1533-position model. The record is from RNAcentral.